CACUCGUUGUGCUCCUUAGAAUCCCGGCUCCCCGCGCCUCCUCUCCUCCGAUCUAACUCCUCCGCACUCUGCUCCUCCAUCUCCUCGCACCCUGCUCCUCCGCCUCCUCCUUCCUAAGCUGCCCGCAUCCAUGCCCUCCUCUGACUUGCGCGGGCGGCCAACACCCGGCCAUGGGGGCUGGCAGUGGUAGGCGCCAAGAUCCGUCUGCCGCUGACCCAGAUUCGGCGCAGCGGUGACGGAUCAAGAGCAGGCGGCGCUUCUUCCUCUCCGGUUCGGCGCGGAUCGAGAUUGCAGGCUUCUUCCCCGGCGGCUCGAGCUGUCGAGCUUGGCUUCCAGCGGCGCGGAUCCAGGAGGCCUGGCUGCUCGCAAGCUCUCCAGGUCGUCUGCGCCUAGCUGCCUUCCAACUUGUUCCCCAUCCCAAAUCUCCUUCUCACUCUACCCAAAUUUGUGAUGUGUGAUGCAUGGAAGUGAAGGAGGAGGAGACGACGGCCGUGGAUCUGCGGAUCCGGAGCACAAAGAAACAAGCGUGCUGCAGGGGCACCUGGUCAUGGUGGUUGGGGAUAACAUCGCGAAGGUGCCUUCAUCCAACAGCAGGUGGCAGGGCGCUACGCAAGGCGGCAUGCCACCUAGGGUCGAGGCCUCCCCCCCCCCCACCCACCCACCACCACCACAUCUGCAGCAUUGAUGGGUGCUGUUGAUGUCUUCUAACUUCUUUUGCAAGCAUUCAGUCUAUUGCAGGGUGCAUCUGCUUAUUGACGAGAAGAUUCAUUGGAUGCAUGUGGACAUGUCAAAAGGAGGACCAUUGCAUGUGUCAGGACAACUAGGACAUCUCACGCGCUCCGCCACGUGAAGAAAAAAGCACAAAGAUAAAAAAGAAGAAGAGGUGAAAACAUUACAAAGAAAAAAGCUUAUUUUCAAAAUUACAAAAGGGUGGGGUCGAGAGGUGGGGAGCCCGGGAAGGGGUGGCGGCCAAGGACGGCGACCGGUGGUAGGAGAGGAGGGCGAGGGGCGGAGGGCGGCGCCCGCCGGCGGUGGCGGAGUGCAGCGGUGCGGCGGCGAAGAACGUUAGGGUUAGCUGAGAGGGAGGGGGCGGGGAGGCCGAGGGAGGGUGCGCGGAGGAGGGGGGGAGGGCGGUUGUUGGGAGGGUAGGCGGCGGGGUUUUUUUUGCAAAAAGGCAUGGACGGCGGGUUUGAUUACAAACAAACUGAAGGGUCUUUUUGCAAAAAAGCCAAGGAGCGGCCUGGAUCAACCUCCUACGACCGAUCGGACGGUUCGCGUCGGGCGUCUUCUCCGGUGGCGCCAUGUGUCACUACCGGGGGAAGGGAGCGCGGAGAGGGCUCCCUCUCCACGCCGUAUAGAAGUUAGAGUAUGAUAUAAUUUGUCUACUUGUUCGGAUCAUAAGAUGAACUCAUGUAUUUGCCUAUUUUUGUUGUACUUUUGUUGAAAUAGCCUUUAUAUUGUUAUGAUCGAUACAGUAGGCUUGAGUAUUGGAUGAUUGGUACUGUAUAUUUCUUUAAAAAUAAGCUUUGUAUAUUGUUUUGGGUUGCAAUGGUAAUUUUGAAAAUGGUCUGAAAUAGUCUAA
Panicum virgatum (switchgrass) is the source of this 1582-nucleotide long non-coding RNA. RefSeq lists it as uncharacterized. The record is from RefSeq and is a predicted model, not a curated record. Lineage: Eukaryota; Viridiplantae; Streptophyta; Magnoliopsida; Poales; Poaceae. The transcript has 3 exons.